GCCAGAGUGGCAUAGUGAUUUUAGUGUUGGACUACAACUCUGGAGACCAGGGUUCGAUUCCCAGCUGUGCCA
This 72-nucleotide transfer RNA is filed under the name Phrynosoma platyrhinos (Desert horned lizard). Its description in RNAcentral is "tRNA-OTHER". The stretch from base 9 to 72 matches the Rfam family "tRNA". From Rfam's summary of the family: Transfer RNA (tRNA) molecules are approximately 80 nucleotides in length. Their secondary structure includes four short double-helical elements and three loops (D, anti-codon, and T loops). Lineage: Eukaryota; Metazoa; Chordata; Lepidosauria; Squamata; Phrynosomatidae. The record is from RNAcentral.